RNAcentral lists this ribosomal RNA (254 nucleotides) under uncultured bacterium. RNAcentral describes it as "partial 16S ribosomal RNA". It matches the Rfam family "Bacterial small subunit ribosomal RNA", at positions 524 to 776 of the family's 1533-position model. The record is from RNAcentral.
UACGUAGGGUCCGAGCGUUGUCCGGAUUUAUUGGGCGUAAAGAGCUCGUAGGCGGCUCAGUAAGUCAGAUGUGAAAACUCAGGGCUCAACCCGGAGACGCCAUCUGAUACUGCUGUGGCUUGAGUCUGGUAGGGGAUCACGGAAUUCCUGGUGUAGCGGUGAAAUGCGCAGAUAUCAGGAGGAACACCGGUGGCGAAGGCGGUUCUCUGGGCAUUACCUGACGCUGAGGAGCGAAAGUGUGGGGAGCGAACAGG